Molecule: ribosomal RNA, 3090 nt
Filed under: Ulva mutabilis
Lineage: Eukaryota; Viridiplantae; Chlorophyta; Ulvophyceae; Ulvales; Ulvaceae
Description: bacterial LSU rRNA
Rfam family: Bacterial large subunit ribosomal RNA (bases 109-2764)
Source: RNAcentral
CCCUGUACUAGGGUUGGUGCAAGACCAUCCCUUUUAUAUACUUGCCUAUAUUGUGGCAAUAUUUAUAUCUGUAUUUUUAGUAGAUUCUAUUUUACUAGUGAUUACAAUGUUGCAUAUUAAUUAUACAAUUCGUCGGAUAGGCCCGUUCUCUAAGGUGGAAACACCGCACACCGUGCAUCAAAACUCAAUGAACUAAAAGAUUUUAUUAAUUGAAGGAAAAGAAACCAACCGGGAUUGCGCUAGUAGUACAGAGCGAAGGCGCAAAAGCUUAAAUAUAUUUUUUGUUUACAGUCGAACUUAAGUGGAAUCCGGACCAGAGAAAGUUAUAGUCUUGUAGGCUGUAAACAAAAAAACAAGUGCUGUAAUUUUAAAGUCAUGUUUAAUUACAGCGCAUUUUAGUAUUUACUCCAAUCUAUGAGUAAAUAAGUAAGUUAGUGGUUUUACACUGCUAAUUAUUGACGGAUACCACUCUGUUGGCUAAAUACUCUAUGUAGAUCGAUAGUGAAUCAGUACUGUAAAGGAAUUAGGAAACAAGAAUGCCAUUGCUUCUCUGAAUACAAGUCCCGAAACAGGUUGCUUAUAAUGACUUUCAGUUUGGCCGUAAUAAUGUUAAAUAGAAAGGUUCCUUUUGAAUCAUGAGCUGAUGACUUUGUGUUAGUUUAAGGCAUAUUAUUAAUUGUUUAGCUGUAUUGCAGACUUUGCUUGCUAUGAAAGUCUGCAAUACAGUAAAUAGAAAUAAUUAGUAUAAGUAGCUUAAUUUAUUAAAAGUAAGCUUAUUAUGAAAAUAUUCAUAAAAAACUAACACAAGACGCGAAACGAAGUGAGCUUAAGUAGACCAGGGGGAAGGUUGCCGGAAGGUAGUUGGACGCCCGAAGUGGUAUGCGUUGCAACGCAUUCAUAUGAGUUUAUUUAAGUGGCGAAAUACCAAUCGAACUUCGAAAUAUCUCGUUUUUUGCGAAACCUUUUUAGGAAGGGGGCCUGCAGAAUGAAUGCUAACUAGGUAGAGCGCUGUAAAACUGAUGGGAAGGAAACUUUUACUGAGGUGUUGCAAACCACGAAUUAGAGGCAUUAUGCCAGGUACUCAGUCAGUGCGGGACAAGCUGCAUUUGACAAGAAGGAAACAGCCUAGACUAUUAAUUAAGGCCCGUAAAUAGCGCUAAGUGAGAAAGUAAUUAACUUCACAAAAAUUAGUAGGACGUUUGAUUAGCAGCAUCUAUCGUUUAAAGAAAGCGUAAUAGCUCACUACUAUAGUUUAGUUGUUGCGAAAAUUUAACCGGACUAAGCGCUAUGCCGAAAUUAUAGCUAACUGGACUGUUUUGCCCCCGUAAAGGGCAAAACAGUCCAGUUAGAGUAGCAAAACGAACCAUGUUGACAAAAUUAUGUCGGUAAGACAUAAUGAAAAUAUUGGUUGCGAAUAUAUCAGCUAGAGUAACAUAACAAUUGAGAUGUUUAAUUAACACAGCUUUGUAUUACUGUUUCUCUCCUUUGCUUUUGCCCGAACUUCGCGGGGCAAAGUUCGGGCAAAAGAACAAUUGAUCGCUUGUAAUAUAAAACUGUAAUACUUCAAAACAGUAUCUCAAUGAUCGGAAAUCCUGGGUUUUCUACACAACUAUAAAAGAUGUAGUUAAAAAUACGGUCCCUCAGUAAUAUAAAGGUUACGAUGGGUACUUGCUAUGUCCAACAAAACCUUGUUUGUAGGUCUGUUGCAGGAAACAAUAGUAAGUUGUAUGCGCAUAAACAUAUUUGUUUUUUACGUGUAUUACCAAUACCGUACUAAAACUGACUCUGGUGGAUUAGUAGAUUUUACUAAGAUUUGGUUAUAAUCGCUCGUAAGGAACUCGGCAAAUUGCGCUGGUACUUUCGAAAACAGCGGUCUGAAAUUGAUGUUUUAGAUCUCAGAUAAGAAAACUGGGUGACAGUUUACUAAAAACUUAGCGUCCUGCCAAUUUGAAACAAGACGUAUAGGAUGUGACGUUUGCUAACGGCCACUAAUUUAAGUAAUCUGUUGUAAAAGAUAGAUAAACAAGAUGUGGUGACGAGCGGCCGUAACUAUAACGGUCAUAAAGUAGCGAAAUUCCUAGGCAUUUAAUUGGUGUCCUGCAUGAAUAACGUAACAACCUGGUUGCUGUCUCGCGAGCGAAAACCGUGAAAUAAGAAUAUCGGUUAAAAUACCGAUUAGGCUGUCUUAGACGAUAAGACCCUGUGAAGCUUUACUGUAACUUAACAUUGCGAUCGGUUUUUUAUCUUACAGUUAGGCGGGAGGCGAUGCCAACAAUGGAAAACCGCUAGAUAAUAAAUUGGUCGCUUUUAUAUAAGACUACUUUUUAAUCCAUAAGAUAUUUAUAUGUGGCGUUUCAUAAAAUAUCUUCUAUGCAAAUAGAGCCCGUUUUAUGUUACUAACCCCUAUAUAAAGCACUUUAAUUAACCAAGAUCGAAGACAGUGUUAGGUGGGCAGUUUACUUGGGGCGAGGUCUGGCUAAAAGGUAACGCCAGAGAGCAAAAGGUAUGCUCAGUAUUGUCGGAAACAAUAUGUAGAGCGUAAUAGUAUAAGCAUGCCUGAUUAUAAGACUGACCAGUCGAAUAAAGACGAAAGUCUGCUAUAGUGACCCUCACACGCUAUGUGGAAAGGUGUGAGAUCAACGAAUCAAAGUUACUCCAGGGAUAACAGGGUAGUCCUGGCUUAUAGUUCUUAUAGACGCCAGGGUUCGCCACCUUAAUUAACAUUGGGGCUCUUAUCUAGGAAACUAGAUUUGGAAUGCAUUUGGCUAUAUGCUGGAACCUCCGUUUGCAUUAAAUGUAACAAAGAACAUUAUUUUUAAUAGCAAUGAAAAUAUUGCGUGGCUUGCUUUUUUAUAAAAUAAAAAGUUUGUUGAAACAUGCAAUUGCGGACAAUCAGCAGGGAAGUUCAAGCAACUGAAAUUGUUUUGUUGCGUAACCCCUCAACGACCACACGCCGAACACCCUUCUAGGGUGAUGAUAUGGUCUACUCUUACAAGAAAUUGUAAGUCAAUUCUAAUUAUAAAAAGGAUUGAUAUACACAACUACAUAAAUAUAGACAAAUUAUGACUAAUAAAAACAAUUACCAACAUU